RNAcentral lists this long non-coding RNA (2031 nucleotides) under Homo sapiens (human). RNAcentral's name for it is "HSALNT0371637". Lineage: Eukaryota; Metazoa; Chordata; Mammalia; Primates; Hominidae. The record is from RNAcentral.
CAUCAGCUCCUGGAAACAAAUGCACUUAACCAGAAAAACAGGGACAUCAACCAGCAAAGAUGCAUCCUCAUUUAAUAGAGCUUGAAAUUACUAUAAUCUGUAAAGUACAGCGAGAAGAAGAAGUUUCACCUGCCUGCACAUCUGUCGUUGACUCUCCAUCUGACUUGGAGGGACUCUGAGGGACCAACCUGAGCCUGAGAAGAGGCAAGAUUCCCCUUCAAGGACACACUGGGAACUUACGGACCUCUUUCUCCAUGGUGCAGAGCGCAGAGGUGAACAAACAGACGCAUAAUAGCUCUUGAGCUUGCCAUUGGGAAGUGAAAAUCAACUGCUUGAAUAAAUGUAAGGACUCAGAACACCAGACAUGGGUGCUCCAAUCCACGUAGUGUUGAGGCAGUGAAGUUUGUGUUCCAGGAACUUCAGAACUCCUGAAUGUAUUGGUGUUGAUAAAAGGUAGACAUCACCUUGUGACUCAACAGCAGCCAAUAAGAUGGAAAUAAAGGCCAUGAAGUUAUCGGAUGGCAUCUACAAGGAAUACUUAGAUGAGGAGGUGACUCUGGUAGCAAUUGUUCUUUUGUCUUUCUCACCUUCCUUCUUGUCCUGUCUGGGAUGCUGAAGUGAUGGCUGGUAUACAGAUGCCCUGUUGUGAUGUUGAGAUAAACAUGAGAAUAAAAGUCGGCGAUUACAGAUGGCAGAGAAGAGAGAGAAAGAUAGGAUGUAGGUGGAUAUUGACGGAACUAAGUUUCUAUUGCACAAGUUCUACCACCAACCUCUGGACUUCAUGAUAUGUGAGGGAGAAAUAAACUCCUAUUUUAGAAGAGAUCUAUGUUACCUGCAACUGAACGGAAUGCUUAAUUGGCACAUCCUAUGUGCUCCAAACCUUCCUUAAUUUCUGUGUGUAAGGCAUACUUAGUCUUUACCCAUUAUUCUGUUCACAUUCAUUCACUUGAUCAGCCUCCCAACUCUAUGGUAAAGAGUUUACUACAGUUUACUCUAUUAGUAAGGGAGAUUCUGGAGCAAGCCCCACAAAUCAUAGAUUGAAUACCCAUUCAUUAAGAGAGAGAUUUAAAGAUACUUCUAUCCAAACACAUUUUAAAUUUCCAGCACCUUUGAGGUGGUGGAGGUUCAUGGUGGUUGAUAGGGUUUAAAUGACUUGUGAUUCAAGCUCCAUAUUACAAUGUAACAGUGCAAAAGUUCAUUUUUUUAAAUUUAUUUUACUUUAAGUUCUGGUAUACAUGUGUAGAACAUGCGGGUUUGUUACAUAGGUAUACAUGUGCCAUGGUGGUUUGCUGCACCUAUCAAACCGUCACCUAGGUUUUAAGAACCACAUGCAUUAGGUAUUUGACCUAAUGCUCUCCCUCAUGUUGCCCCCCAACUCCCUGACAGGGCCCAGUGUGUGAUGUUCCCCUCCCUGUGUCCAUGUGUUCUCAUUGUUCAACUCCCACUUAUGAGUGAGAACAUGUGGUGUUUGAUUUUCUGUUCCUGUGUUAGUUUGCUGAGAAUGAUGGCUUCCAGCUUCAUCCAUGUCCCUGCAAAGGACACGAACUCAUUCUUUUUUAUGGCUUCAUAAUAUUCCAUGAGUCUGGAUUUGGUUACAGAUAGAGCUGGACAAGCCUUAGCUAUAUCUAAUGGCUUUUGACAUGUUAUAUCAAUUUCUUACUGCUUUUGUAAAUGAAUAUAUUAAGAAGAAAAAAUUACAAAUGACCCUUUCUUCACAAACUUUUAGGGUAAUCAAGUUCAGUUAUUAAAAAAUGGAUGUUUGCAACAUUCAUAGUAAUUAUUUUCAGAAAAUUAAAAAUGAUUAAAAAUUAUAUUUUCAUCCCAUUCAGAUAUUAUAUAUUUAACUGUGAGAUAAUUCUCAGAGAUAAAUGUCAACUUUUAAAAAAUGCUAAAUAAAUUAAAUCAAAAUAUCCCCUCUAAAAUAAAUAAAUUAGCUCCGAUUAUUUCUUCUUUUUAAAUUUUUCCUUAUAGUUGUAAAAAUAAAGUGAACGUUUUGGCUCAUUUCCUCAUUAAAGUUUGAAUUUUCCAGUC